AAUAAGCGGAGGAAAGAAACUAACAAGGAUUCCCCUAGUAACUGCGAGUGAAGCGGGAAAAGCUCAAAUUUAAAAUCUGGCGCCUUUGGACGUCCGAGUUGUAUUCUAGAGAAGUGUUUUCCGCGUUGGACCGUGUACAAGUCUCUUGGAACAGAGCGUCAUAGAGGGUGAGAAUCCCGUCUUUGACACGGACUACCAAUGCUUUGUGAUGCGCUCUCAAAGAGUCGAGUUGUUUGGGAAUGCAGCUCAAAAUGGGUGGUAAAUUCCAUCUAAAGCUAAAUAUUGGCGAGAGACCGAUAGCGAACAAGUACCGUGAGGGAAAGAUGAAAAGCACUUUGGAAAGAGAGUUAAACAGUACGUGAAAUUGCUGAAAGGGAAACGCUUGAAGUCAGUCGCGUUGAUUAGAACUCAGCCAGGUUUACUUGGUGCAUUUUCUAUUUAACGGGCCAGCAUCAGUUUUGACUGCAGGAAAAAGGUCAGAGAAAUGUGGCAUCUUCGGAUGUGUUAUAGUCUCUGGUUGUAUACUGUGGUUGGGAUUGAGGCUCUCAGCACGCUUUUGUUGUGCUUAGGAUGCUGGCGUAAUGGCUUUAAACGACCCGUCUUGAAACACGGACCAAGGAGUCUAACAAAUCUGCGAGUAUUUGGGUGGUAAACCCGAGUGCGCAAUGAAAGUGAAAGUUGGGAUCUCUGUCGUGGAGAGCACCGACGCCCGGACCAGACCUUUUGUGACGGAUCUGCGGUAGAGCAUAUUUGUUGGGACCCGAAAGAUGGUGAACUAUGCCUGAAUAGGGUGAAGCCAGAGGAAACUCUGGUGGAGGCUCGUAGCGAUUCUGACGUGCAAAUCGAUCGUCAAAUUUGGGUAUAGGGGCGAAAGACUAAUCGAACCAUCUAGUAGCUGG
Molecule: ribosomal RNA, 899 nt
Filed under: Cytidiella sp.
Lineage: Eukaryota; Fungi; Basidiomycota; Agaricomycetes; Polyporales; Irpicaceae
Description: YL-2021d partial large subunit ribosomal RNA
Rfam family: Eukaryotic large subunit ribosomal RNA
Source: RNAcentral